CCCUCGAUAGCUCAGCUGGAAGAGCGUGGGACUGUAAUGGUUACUCCCGAUCAUCCCAAGGCCAUCGGUUCGACCCCGAUUCGAGGGA
This 88-nucleotide transfer RNA is filed under the name Trametes pubescens. It matches the Rfam family "tRNA". Rfam says of the family: Transfer RNA (tRNA) molecules are approximately 80 nucleotides in length. Their secondary structure includes four short double-helical elements and three loops (D, anti-codon, and T loops). Further hydrogen bonds mediate the characteristic L-shaped molecular structure. tRNAs have two regions of fundamental functional importance: the anti-codon, which is responsible for specific mRNA codon recognition, and the 3' end, to which the tRNAs corresponding amino acid is attached (by aminoacyl-tRNA synthetases). tRNAs cope with the degeneracy of the genetic code in two manners: having more than one tRNA (with a specific anti-codon) for a particular amino acid; and 'wobble' base-pairing, i.e. permitting non-standard base-pairing at the 3rd anti-codon position. Lineage: Eukaryota; Fungi; Basidiomycota; Agaricomycetes; Polyporales; Polyporaceae. The record is from Rfam by way of RNAcentral.